RNAcentral lists this ribosomal RNA (1330 nucleotides) under Limnonectes cf. kuhlii JF-2021. RNAcentral describes it as "partial 16S large subunit ribosomal RNA". It matches the Rfam family "Bacterial large subunit ribosomal RNA", at positions 23 to 2516 of the family's 2925-position model. The record is from RNAcentral. Lineage: Eukaryota; Metazoa; Chordata; Amphibia; Anura; Dicroglossidae.
GCCCAAAAUUAAGCCUAAUUAACCCUUAUGCCACACACCUCACAACAAAUUUAAAUAAAACAUUCUACCAGUUUAGUAAAGGCGAUUAAAAAACUUAUUAGCGCUUUAUUGUAAGUACCGCAAGGGAAAAAUGAAAUAGUUUUGAAAUAGUCUUUAAGCAAUAUACAGCAGAGAUUACUUCUCGUACCUUUUGCAUCAUGGUUUAGCUAGUCCCCAUCAAGCAAAUCGAAACAUCAGUUUGACCCCCCGAAACUAAGCGAGCUACUUUAAAACAGCUCAAUGGAGCCAACCCAUCUCUGUUGCAAAAGAGUGGGAUGAUUUUUAAGUAGAGGUGAAAAGCCUAACGAGCCUAGAGAUAGCUGGUUAUUCAGGAAAAGAAUUUUAGUUCGACCUUAAGUUUUAUUUUUACUUAUAAAAUACACCCAAACUUAAGAGCUAUUCAAAUAAGGCACAGCUUAUUUGAAAAAGGACACAACCUAUAAAAAUGGGUAAAACACCUUAUUGAAACCAAGUGGGCCUGAAAGCAGCCAUCUUUAAGAAAGCGUUAAAGCUCCCCUUCCUUCCCCUCAACAAUUCCCCCAAAUCUAUUAAACCCUUUAUCACUACUGAAUGAUUCUAUAACCUAUAGAAAUCCUGAUACUAAAACUAGUAACAAGAAAUUGCAUUUCUCCAAAAUAUAAGUAUAAGCCUAAAUGGACACGCCACCGGCAGUUAACGUCAAUAAAGCCACUUUAGUAACCUUGCAAGAAAAACCUAAACAUGCAUAAACGUUAACCUUACACAAGUAUAUUUCGGGAAAGAUUAAAAGAAAUGGAAGGAACUCGGCAAAUAUUAACCCCGCCUGUUUACCAAAAACAUCGCCUCUUGAUGAACUAUAAGAGGUCCAGCCUGCCCAGUGACAUAGUUAAACGGCCGCGGUACACUGACCGUGCAAAGGUAGCAUAAUCACUUGUUCUUUAAAUAAGGACUUGUAUCAACGGCAUCACGAGGGUUCUACUGUCUCCCCUUUCUAAUCAGUGAAACUGACUUCCCCGUGAAGAGGCGGGGAUGUGACUACAAGACGAGAAGACCCCAUGGAGCUUUAAACCCACUUACAACCUCUAUCUAAAUAUUACCACAUAAAUGAAAAGUACUGUACAGUGGUUUUAGGUUGGGGUGACCACGGAGUAAAACCAAACCUCCAUGACGAACGGAUAAAUCAUCCUAAUCCAUGAGCUACCGCUCUAAGAAUCAAAAAAUUGACAUAUAUGAUCCGGUAACCGAUCAACGAACCAAGUUACCCUGGGGAUAACAGCGCAAUCCAUUUCAAGAGCCCCUAUCGACAAAUGGG